RNAcentral lists this ribosomal RNA (223 nucleotides) under uncultured bacterium. Its description in RNAcentral is "partial 16S ribosomal RNA". It matches the Rfam family "Bacterial small subunit ribosomal RNA", at positions 524 to 745 of the family's 1533-position model. The record is from RNAcentral.
UACGAAGGGGCUAGCGUUGUUCGGAUUUACUGGGCGUAAAGCGCACGUAGGCGGAUCGUUAAGUCGGGGGUGAAAUCCUGGAGCUCAACUCCAGAACUGCCUUCGAUACUGGCGAUCUAGAGUCCGGAAGAGGUGAGUGGAACUCCUAGUGUAGAGGUGGAAUUCGUAGAUAUUAGGAAGAACACCAGUUGGCGAAGGCGGCUCACGUGGUCCGGUACUGACG